CGCCUCCUGCAACUAGAUUGAGUAUAGGAGGUCCAGCCUGCCCAGUGACUACGGGUUCAACGGCCGCGGUAUUUUGACCGUGCAAAGGUAGCGCAAUCACUUGUCUCUUAAAUAGAGACCUGUAUGAAUGGCUAGACGAGGGCUUAACUGUCUCCCCCUUUCAGUCAGUGAAAUUGAUCUAUCCGUGCAGAAGCGGGUAUAACAAUACAAGACGAGAAGACCCUUUGGAGCUUAAGGUACAAGAUUCAGCCACGUUAAACAACUCCAUAGAAAGCAAGAACUUAGUGCCCAUGAAAUUUUACCUUCGGUUGGGGCGACCACGGAGGAAAAAUAAGCCUCCGAGUGGACUGGGCCGAACCCCUAAAGCCAAGAGAAACAUCUCUAAGCCGCAGAACAUCUGACCAAUGAUGAUCCGGCUGAAAAGCCGAUCAACGAACCAAGUUACCCUAGGGAUAACAGCGCAAUCCUCUCCCAGAGCCCAUAUCGACGAGGGGGUUUACGACCUCGAUGUUGGAUCAGGACAUCCUAAUGGUGCAGCCGCUAUUAAGGGUUCGUUUGUUCAACGAUUAAAGUCCU
Molecule: ribosomal RNA, 576 nt
Filed under: Rhinichthys atratulus (blacknose dace)
Lineage: Eukaryota; Metazoa; Chordata; Actinopteri; Cypriniformes; Leuciscidae
Also listed under: 1 other name
Description: partial large subunit ribosomal RNA
Rfam family: Bacterial large subunit ribosomal RNA
Source: RNAcentral